Molecule: unclassified non-coding RNA, 148 nt
Filed under: uncultured fungus
Lineage: Eukaryota; Fungi
Description: sequence contains ITS1
Source: RNAcentral
CAGAGUUGCAAAACUCCCAAACCACUGUAAACCUUACCUAACUUGUUGCUUCGGCGGGGGCUCUCUCAUGGGAAGCCAUUGCAGCCCGCCAGAAGUCCACUAAAACCAUGUUGUCAUUGGCAUCUCUGAGGUAUUAUAAAAUGAAUCA